This is a small nuclear RNA of Globicephala melas (long-finned pilot whale), 103 nucleotides long. The record is from RefSeq and is a predicted model, not a curated record. Lineage: Eukaryota; Metazoa; Chordata; Mammalia; Artiodactyla; Delphinidae.
UUGCUUUGGCAGCACAUAUACUAAAAUUGGAACCAUGCAGAGAAGAUUAGCUUGGCCCCUGUUUGAGGAAGACACACAAAUUCGUGAAGCAUUCCAUGUUUUU